RNAcentral lists this long non-coding RNA (2633 nucleotides) under Zea mays. Its description in RNAcentral is "long non-coding RNA (ZMAY_LNC001920)". The record is from RNAcentral. Lineage: Eukaryota; Viridiplantae; Streptophyta; Magnoliopsida; Poales; Poaceae.
UUUAUUACAAGUCCUGAUAGUACUCGAAGGGCAUAACUUAACUACAAUAAUUGGAAGGGUGAAGCCUUUCCAUAAGAGAUAUAUAUAAAAACCUUCUAAGCUUCAAGUCCUCCACAUGAAGUAACUAACCCAAAGAUAGGGGAAUAAAACUUCUCCUACAAAAACAACAAGGGAUAAAACCCUGAGUAUGCAAUUACUCAGCAAGACUUACCCGACUAAAGAAAAGACUCUCAAGGAUAUGCUGGUUUGUUGGGAAUCAAGGUAAGGCUUGUCAAAUUUCAAAGACUCAUUUUGCAGAAGAGCUUACUAGUAGUGAAUCUUUAUGCCAAACUUUUACUUCACAAGUUAAUUAUUUUUCCUGAAUCUAGAUUUGCCUAAUCUAGAGCAUUCACUUGUCCUAUACUAGCUUCCUUUCAACCAAACCACAAUCAUGUUUCACUUAUUAAACUACGAUGCAGGGCAGUGAUCCAGUCUUCAUAUCCGAGAAGUACGAUGAUCCGAACCGAUUAAUACCCAGCUGGGGAUCUCCAACCACACGACAUAUGUAGCACUUAACCCUUGCAUAUGUCAACCAUUCCCAUGGAUCCUCCACUACAUGAACAGGUCCGCGCUACCCGGGAGCACAUUACCCUACCAUCCAGCCUCUUGCCAGGAGGAUAACUGCUACUCCCACCAUCUCCCACGCCCAGUGCGCGGUUGUCUUUUCACGUAUGGAAUAGCCGGGUUCAGGCUUACCCAUGGUGAGGUAUGUGGCCAGUUAAAGGGUCCUAGAUCAGCAGGCCAACAAUCGGUACGGUCCUUAAUCGACUCAGACGAAGACACUACAUCGAGACUCCUUUCUCGUGCAAGUCAACUGCCCGAUCUCAGCUUUAUUAUUUUCAACCCAAAGUUUGGUACCUGGCAGAGGUACAUCUUUUCCGACGUUGAACCCAUCCCGGCCGUGAUGGAUCCACCAUCAAGUUUUAUUUUUGAAAACUUCCCACCCACUGAAGCAUCACUUUUGUUUUAAAACAAAACAUUUUUGUUUGCUAAAGCAAGGCUAAGCAUCAUAAAAUUCUUUUCAAAACGGGUAUCAAGGAAGGGUAAUCAAUUUCAAGGAAGGAAAUGCAUCAACGGUUUAGCACACAACUCCUAUCACCUAAUGCAUCAAUCAAGUGAGAAAGAUUUUAAAAUAGCAAGGAGGUGACAAAUGCACCAGGGCUUGCCUUACUACAGGAGGAAAUAUGAUAUCUUCUAUUACGAUAAGCAGUUAGAUGGAAUCCACCACUGGAUCAGUAGAACUGGAACAGGCUCCUUCACAAAUCACUUCUUCUUGGUACUCUACAUGAAAUGCCAUGAUUAUGAAUGCCUGUGUAUAUGCUACUAGCAAGGAAAGUAUUACGAAGCACUACAAAAUUACAAUUACAAGCUAUCACCACAAGCCAUAACUACCAGGGAGCUAUUUACUGAACUUCAAUACUCUACACAAACGCAGAACGAUGGCGCUGGCCACCCGAAUUUCUUGACUAAAAACCACAUCAAAUUACAAUCCUAGAAGUUCCAAUCAGAUUUUCUCUCAUCUCCCUAUGCUGGCUUGAUACACUUUCUUACUAGGAGUUGCUCUUCUAUGAUCACUCUCCAACUUUACUUUAAAGGAUACUAGCUAAAACUCAACAGGCUUCAGGUUAGAGAGCUCCAAAGUUGGAACUCCACGAAACUACACAAUUCAGCUAACUGAACUAAAUUCAGCACCCUCUACCUAACAGAGCAACUUGGAAUAAUCUUUUCUCUCAAUUCAAAGCAAGGAUAGGGAGAUCCUUCUUAAAAGAAAUUGCUCCCCAAUAUUAGAUCUUCAAGUUUACUGCAAUGAUCAUCCACCAAAACUUCAAGAAUUGAGACUUAGAAGGGUUCAAAACUGAGAGGAAUUCACAGUUUCUAAAAAUUCAGCAAACUGAAUUACGUUUUAGAUUCUGAAACUGAACUCUACACCAAACUGAACCCCCACCUGUAACUCCAUUACUCCUCACAAUUCCAAACAAUAAUAGGCCAACCUUGACUAAUAAAAUUUGUUUACCACACAUAUCUGUACAAGUUUGCUGCAGCAGCCUUAGGUCAAAGAAUCAUGGAUCAAGAGUUAUAGUGCUCCAAAAAUGGGUUGAGAACACAUAAAAUUCUGUUUCAGCUGACUGAAACUAUAUACCUGUCAGUGAAAGUUUUGAGACGUUUUAUCCAAUUUUUUUACACAGCAGCAAUACCAAUGCUUCACUGACCUUUGAAGACCACGGAACGAAGACCACACGGGCAUGCAACUCACUGGAACGCUUUGGCCACAGCGAGGUGGGAGGUUUCGGUGGGUGUGGUCACCAGACAAUAGGGUUGGCAGGCGCAGCACAAAGGCAGAACAACCUAGUGACUGAGAAGAGGAGCUAACACUGGUUUGAACACAGGAACUACCUCGAUCUCGUGAGGAACACUGGCUAGAACUCGAGGGCAAGGAAAAGCUCCACUAGACCAAGCUCUGCAGUACACAGGAUAAGAGGACAGAGGCAUCGAGCUCAGCCAUAUCUUGGUGAAGAAGGGCCCCAAGGGUGCCAGCACCUCAUGGGAGAGCACACGUGGCCAACAAGCACAAAUACCAGGCCAGCUCACAAACU